Molecule: long non-coding RNA, 561 nt
Organism: Cyprinus carpio (common carp)
Lineage: Eukaryota; Metazoa; Chordata; Actinopteri; Cypriniformes; Cyprinidae
Source: Ensembl
AUGGGUGUCACUGUUUUACGCUGCCUUUCGUUGUAUGGAUUCAUUCUCACAAUACAUGCUCUCCAGCACCAGCGGGUCCGGCCCAACGGCAUGGCCAUUCUGUCUUGUGGUGAGCUGAAGUCUGGGAAAGUGACCUGGAGCAGAGAUCUGAAAGGGCGCCGAAUGCCCAUUCUCAGCACUGAUAAUGGAGACAUAACCAGACACAUACAGAAUCACAAUCACAGCUCAUUACCAGACCUGUCUCUGGUUAUCUGGUUUGUCUCAUCUUGGGAUGAGGGCUUGUAUUAUUGCAACAGCACACCUGUGGCAUGUCUAACAGUGAAAGAAGCUGAUGGGCAGAACAACAAGGAUCUGACUGCUUGUGUCGAAGGUGGCGUGCGUCUGGAUGUGAUGGAGCGUAUGCUGAUGUUCGGCGGUGUUGGACUGGCGGCUCUGAUGCUUUUCUUCGCUACUGCAGCUGCAGUCAAAGCUUCACGCUCGACUCGCAAUGAAACACAAAGAUCUCACACGGCAGACCGCACCGAUCUUUACAUUAACAUGAGAGAAUGCCAGUCAAACUGA